This 2009-nucleotide long non-coding RNA is filed under the name Arachis ipaensis. Its description in RNAcentral is "long non-coding RNA (AIPA_LNC002158)". The record is from RNAcentral. Lineage: Eukaryota; Viridiplantae; Streptophyta; Magnoliopsida; Fabales; Fabaceae.
GGAGCCUGGGGCUGUUGUCAUCACUUGAGGUAGCUGCCGGAGCUUCUGCCCCUCCAUUGCGGCAUUUUUCUUUAACUGUGGUAAUUUAUUCUAGCCUUGGAAUUCUUACUGUUAUUAUUCUGCUAUAAAAUUGAGAAGUUCAUGAUGUUAAUAUGCUAGGGUCAAGUUCUGGAAACUGUAUGAUUAAAAUAGAGGCUGUUGCGGUGUCGACCUUCUUCGUUUCUUGUGGUUGCUGCCGCGAGUUAAGACUAAAAAGGGACCCUUGAUGCGUUAACCCUUAAAGGUUUCGACUUUUGAGGUAGGGGCAUUUUUCUUAAACUUGUUUUAUUUUCCAGAGUUGUUAUAAAUCGAUAUUAAUGAGUAAAAUACAUUUUUUGUGAUUUCGUGAGUCUUAUGAAUUGAAUUGAGUUGUUUUGGAUGAAUGAGAUUGUUAGUUCGAUUGAUUGAGUGAUUAAAUGAGGAAGUUGAAUAUUCUAACUAGUUGACUGAUGUGGUUAAAGUGGUUUUCCUCGAAUUAUUGGAAGAGAUUUAGUAAAUUUAAUUUUAGAAACGAUUUGGUUUAGAAAAGAUUGAAUGUUGAAAUCUGAUUUGAACCCGAUUUAAUAUCGGAAUUUGAUUUUAGAACAAAUUUGGAAAAGACUUAAUAUUUGAAAAUGGUUUGUUUAUUGAGAAUGAUUUGCUAUUUUGGAAAAUGAAUCAAAAAGGGUUUGAGGAACGGUUUGGUUUGAAACUGUUUAGAAAAGACUGAGAAUUCUUAAUUAUUGACUGAUUGCUGUUGGUUGAAGUUGAUUAAAAUUGCGAUUUAUAGGAUUGGUUGAUUGAAUUCUAGAUUUUGUAUUUUCCUUGGGUUGAGUGUUGUAAUGGUUGUUGGAAGUGAUUUAACUGGUUAACAGGUGUUUGGUUUGGUUUGGUUGGAACCCGAAAAGGGUGGCAGAAUCCGAGUUUUAGAGGAGAUGCUGCCGAAAUUUUAUAAAAUUGGAAGUUUUAUUUGAAGUAAUUGUUUAAAAAGAUUUAGUUCUUAAACAUUAUAUGUUUAAGAUUGAUUUAUUUAGAAAAUAAAGAAUUAUGUUUUGGAUUGAGAUUGUUGAUUAACGGAAAGAAGGAUGAUGAGGAUUGAUUUGAAAUAUGAUUUUUGAAUGAAUUUGGAAAUGGGAUAUGGAUUGACGAAUGAUGAUAAUAUUGAGAAUGAUUUAGAUAUUGAUGAAUGAUGAAUGAAUUAUUUAUGUUGCUUAUGAAUUUGAAAUAUCUGAGAUACGAGGUUCCCUGGAUUAAGUGCCGUGGCUUGCCACCACGUGUACCAGGUUGAAAACUCGAUACUCUGUUGACCCUACGACGUAAGUGUGACCGGGCACUAUAUAAAUUCCCGGGAAUGUUACCCCCAUUGAGCAAUAUUGAUUAUUUGAGAAAAAGCUAUGCGUAGACUCUUGGGGAUGCACGUCGGGGGACAGUCUAAGGGCAAUUCAGACUUGUCGGGUUGGCUGGAUAACCGACAGAUGAGCCUCAUCAGCCAUAGGACAGGCAUGCAUCAUAUGCAUUUGUAUGCUUUGCUUGGGUUUGAACUUGUUUUGGUUUGCCUAAUUGCUAAACUGUUCUUAACUGCUACUUGAACUAUUUGCUGUAACUGCUACCUACUUGUGCUUUCCUUGUCUGUCUUGCUUGUGUUUGUCCUGGCGUGCUACAUUUGAGAAUGAACUUUGGUGAUGAAUUAAUGACUGUGUUGUCUGAUUGCAUGGUUGGUUUCUGAUUGAGAUUUUCUUAUAAGAAGAAAGGUUUCGGACUUCUGAAAGAUUAAACAUUGUUUCUUUGAAAAAGUUUUGAACGAUUUUCUAUUGGUUUUAAAAGAUUCAUAAGGCAAUGAUAAUCACUGAGUUUGAAAAUAGUUUUCGUAUUAAAUAUCUUCUUAUGACAACUUUGAAACUCCGUGGUGAGACCGUGUGGUUAGGUUCUCACCCCCCUACAGUUUUACCCUUUUCAGGAACCGGAUGAAGAAGCAUUAAGAAGAGUUAUAC